RNAcentral lists this ribosomal RNA (874 nucleotides) under uncultured archaeon. RNAcentral describes it as "bacterial SSU rRNA". It matches the Rfam family "Archaeal small subunit ribosomal RNA", at positions 11 to 892 of the family's 1478-position model. The record is from RNAcentral.
GUCCCGCCGGACCUGACUGCUAUCGGAUUGAUACUAAGCCAUGCGAGUCAUUGUAGCAAUACAAGGCAGACGGCUCAGUAACGCGUAGUCAACCUAACCUAUGGACGGGAAUAACCUCGGGAAACUGAGAAUAAUGCCCGAUAGAACACUAUGCCUGGAAUGGUUUGUGUUCCAAAUGAUUUAUCGCCGUAGGAUGGGACUGCGGCCUAUCAGUUUGUUGGUGAGGUAAUGGCCCACCAAGACUAUUACAGGUACGGGCUCUGAGAGGAGUAGCCCGGAGAUGGGUACUGAGACACGGACCCAGGCCCUAUGGGGCGCAGCAGGCGAGAAAACUUUGCAAUGUGCGAAAGCACGACAAGGUUAAUCCGAGUGGUUUCUGCUAAAGGAACCUUUUGUCGGUCCUAGAAACACCGAUGAAUAAGGGGUGGGCAAGUUCUGGUGUCAGCCGCCGCGGUAAAACCAGCACCUCAAGUGGUCAGGAUGAUUAUUGGGCCUAAAGCAUCCGUAGCCUGCUUUGUUAGUUUUCGGUUAAAUCUAUGCGCUCAACGUAUAGGCUGCCGGGAAUACUGCAGAGCUAGGGAGUGGGAGAGGUAGACGGUACUCGGUAGGAAGGGGUAAAAUCCUUUGAUCUAUUGAUGACCACCUGUGGCGAAGGCGGUCUACCAGAACACGUCCGACGGUGAGGGAUGAAAGCUGGGGGAGCAAACCGGAUUAGAUACCCGGGUAGUCCCAGCCGUAAACCAUGCAAACUCAGUGAUGCAUUGGCUUGUGGCCAAUGCAGUGCUGCAGGGAAGCCGUUAAGUUUGCCGCCUUGAAGUACGUACGCAAGUAUGAAACUUAAAGGAAUUGGCGGGGGAGCACCACAAGGGGUGAA